UACGUAGGGGGCAAGCGUUGUCCGGAUUUAUUGGGCGUAAAGAGCUCGUAGGCGGUUCCGUAAGUCGUGAAGUCAAAUCUCUGGGCUCAACCCAGAAUCGCUUCCGAUACUGCGGUGACUGGAGUCCGGUAGGGGAGUGUGGAAUUCCUGGUGUAGCGGUGAAAUGCGCAGAUAUCUGGAGGAACACCGGUGGCGAAGGCGGCAUCCUGGACCAACACUGACGCUGAGUGAGCGAAAGCCAGGGGAGCAAACGGG
This 255-nucleotide ribosomal RNA is filed under the name uncultured bacterium. RNAcentral describes it as "partial 16S ribosomal RNA". It matches the Rfam family "Bacterial small subunit ribosomal RNA", at positions 524 to 776 of the family's 1533-position model. The record is from RNAcentral.